CAGGCUGCUCCAGGUCCCCUGGAAGCUCCAGAUCCAGAUCCCUGACUGGGGGUGUAGGUCAGGAGGAACGCGGGGCCUCAUUCUGGGACUCCCCCAACCUCCUCCUCUUCCACCAUCAGGAGGCUGAGAAUCCAGAGAAAGAUCUCUGACCACUAAAUCUGUGUGCAGCCUCUGAAGAGCCAAUCCAUUCAGGAUGGGAAACCACGCAGGCAAACGAGAAUUAAAUGCCGAGAAGGCCAGUACGGACAUCGCCCAGAGCAGCAACAUCCUGCGGAAAAGAGUGUCAGUGGCAUCUUUUGUUAUGCAGAGGAGAUGGAAUCCUCCCAGGUGACUGAUAGCUGAGAGGGAGGGAAACUAUCAGGAGAGCCAAGAAGAGAGAUGGGUUCCAGGAGGAGAAAGUUGUCCACAACAGGAAGAGCUGCCACAGGGCUCCCCUCUGCCUGGCUCCUGCAGACCCCAUCUUCACAGAAAGGAAAGCCAGAUCACUCAGAAAGUCACUUCCUUCCGGUCACCCAAACCCACACCUGGAUUGCUGUGACACGGCUGUCAUGCCAUUGAGCGCCAAAUUCCCUGGGAAAUUCUUCCUUUCUGAUCUGACUGCAGUGUGCUGGCAAUUGACAGAUCUGUACGUGUAAAAUUUCUACUUUAUAGAAUAGUGAAACUAACAGAGGAGAAUCUGAAAAAAAGAGAAACCUGGGUGAACUUUCACGGACAACCUCAGAGGACAACGAAGUGUUCGGAGAGGCAGAUGCGAACCAGAACAAUGGGACCUCCUCUCAGGACACAGCGGUGACUGACUCCAAGCGCACAGCGGACCCGAAGAAUGCCUGGCAGGAUGCCCACCCAGCUGACCCAGGGAGCCGCCCCCACUUGAUCCGCCUCUUUUCCC
RNAcentral lists this long non-coding RNA (889 nucleotides) under Homo sapiens (human). RNAcentral describes it as "non-protein coding lnc-MBP-13:2". Lineage: Eukaryota; Metazoa; Chordata; Mammalia; Primates; Hominidae. The record is from RNAcentral.